RNAcentral lists this ribosomal RNA (473 nucleotides) under uncultured soil bacterium. Its description in RNAcentral is "bacterial SSU rRNA". It matches the Rfam family "Bacterial small subunit ribosomal RNA", at positions 26 to 518 of the family's 1533-position model. The record is from RNAcentral.
AGGACGAACGCUGGCGGCGUGCUUAACACAUGCAAGUCGAGCGGUAAGGCCUUUCGGGGUACACGAGCGGCGAACGGGUGAGUAACACGUGGGUGAUCUGCCCUGCACUUCGGGAUAAGCCUGGGAAACUGGGUCUAAUACCGGAUAUGACCUCCUAUCGCAGUGGUGGGUGGUGGAAAGAUUUAUCGGUGCAGGAUGGGCCCGCGGCCUAUCAGCUUGGUUGGUGGGGUAAUGGCCUACCAAGGCGACGACGGGUAGCCGACCUGAGAGGGUGACCGGCCACACUGGGACUGAGACACGGCCCAGACUCCUACGGGAGGCAGCAGCGGGAAUAUUGCACAAUGGGCGAAAGCCUGAUGCAGCGACGCCGCGUGAGGAUGACGGCCUUCGGUUGUAACCUCUUUCAGCAGGACGAAGCGCGAAGUGACGGUACUGCAGAACAAGCACCGGCUAACUACGUCGCAGCACGCCGC